AAGCAGCUGGGAGUCGUAUGUUGGUCAAGGCUGCAUGUGAAGUAGGUUAAGGGUAUCUAGAUGUGUUGAAUCUCUUAUCAAAUUCCAAAGUCCAAUUCCAAAGACCAAAGCCCAAAGGCGGUAGGCCGUAGGCCGAAACCUAAAGACGUAGGCCCGAGGCCGGAGGCCGGAAGCCUGUCGCUGGAAGCUGGAGGCCCGAAGCCGGAAGCCGGUAGGCCGUAGGCUGAAAGUGGAGUGCAGAAUGCCUAAAGCCCAAAGCCGACAGGCAAUAGCCAAAAGCCGAGAGCCGAAAUCCCAGAACCCAAAGCCCGAAGUCCAAAACCGAAAGUCGUAAGUGGCAUAGGUUGGUUAGUUUAGUGUGCGUCCAAUGUAGGCGACCGGCUGACGUGAAUAGGUUCUCUAGCCCAGUCGGCAUCAAGUAGCUGGGAGUCGUAUGUUGGUUAAGGCUGCAUGUGAAGUAGGUUAAGGGUAUCUGUAAUUUUUUUGAGGCAAGCGAGCUACAUCGUAGCGUGUUUAAUUUUCUGAUAGUUGGCUGCGUUCUAAGCAGCAUACACGCUUAAGUGCAUAGAUUGGUUGGAGUAGGCUACGUCCGUCGCUGGUUACGUGCUCAGUUCGAGACUUACGUUUGGCUAUCCUUCGUCUGCAGCGGUCUGCUCUGUUAUGGAGGCUUCUUGCUCGCGGUCUUAGGUAAGUCGGGUUAGGCUGCUUCAGUGGCUGGCUACCUGACGAGUGGCAUAGGUUGGUUGUUUUAUGCUGCGUCCUGAAAAGCAACGCCCGGCGACUGACAAGUCACGCUUCCUUGAAUCGUAGGCCACAUAUCUCUGCUGACAAGCCACACAUACUUCGUCACAGGCCACCAAACUUCACCGACCUCUUGGCAGAUGAUCCAGAAGUGGUUUGCCAUUGCCUUCUUCUGUGUAUGUGCGGCUGAUUUCGUACCACUACAGGAAAUUUGCUGUGAUCAUGAAGGGCUUUGUCUGCGGAGAAGCAGCUUGAUUGAUCCAUGGGACUUUACUGAGGUUGAAGGCUGCGUCACCUGACCUGACUACUGGUUGCCAGGAAAAGAGUGGAGUAUGUGCAGAAACACUUUGCUGGCUCUCUGAUAUGACAACAGGAAAUCGGCUGUUAUCAUGAAGGACCUCAUGUCUGCGAGAGAUUGAUCUCUGUCUCAACUUGACAUGCGUUGUGGGUAGCGGAUUACAAGAAAUAGAAUGUUCCUCCAGAUUCUACUGGGCGGCGUGCUGUGUGUCACCUGACCUGCGUACUGCUUGCCAGAGAAGCAUUGGAGUAUGUGCGGCAACAGUUGGCAGACUGAGUUGAUUUCAGAACAGGAAACUUACUGCCAUGACUGGCGUAUGUAGUUCAUGUGCAGCGAGUUGGUAGCGAGGAUGUUUCCAUGUGGGAGUUUCGGUUUCUAGUUUGUUCUGUGAUGUCUCUGGUCUGUUCUUUCCGCGCAUCACGUAGUUCAUUUGGGUCGGCACUAUAAUUCUUUGUGGCCACGUUCUUAGAGAUGUGAAAGAAGACUGGCAUUGGGAAUAUUUGUCUCGGUUGGUAGUGAGGUCGUGCUUCGGUUUAGUUAAUGUUUGAAUGCUAAAAUGAUUUUGAGUUCAUAAUGGCAAAUAUUUAGUCUCUUCAAAUGCCUUAAUGCAAGAAUCAUUGCUGUAAGUUUCUGUGUGGGAACAGUGUGCCUCUUGGGUUGUAAGUGGGUUACGGAAUUAUCUGGUGUUCUCAUUUGUCGGUAGGUGUACAAUCAACUGCAGAAUAAGAGUGCUGAUUCUGUAUGCA
This is a non-coding RNA of Zootermopsis nevadensis, 1785 nucleotides long. Lineage: Eukaryota; Metazoa; Arthropoda; Insecta; Blattodea; Termopsidae. The record is from RefSeq and is a predicted model, not a curated record.